This 797-nucleotide ribosomal RNA is filed under the name uncultured bacterium. RNAcentral describes it as "bacterial SSU rRNA". It matches the Rfam family "Bacterial small subunit ribosomal RNA", at positions 35 to 843 of the family's 1533-position model. The record is from RNAcentral.
AGUAGGUGCGUGCCAGCAGAAUGCAAGUCGAAGGAUUAAGACUUCCUUCGGGAAGUGCAUAAAGUGGCGCACGGGUGAGUAACACGUAAGUAAUCUACCCUCGAGUGGGGAAUAACGUUCGGAAACGGACGCUAAUACCGCAUAACGCAGCGGCACCGCAAGGUGACAGUUGUUAAAGGAGCAAUCCGCUUGAGGAGGAGCUUGCGGCAGAUUAGCUAGUUGGUAGGGUAAUGGCUUACCAAGGCUACGAUCUGUAUCCGGUCUAAGAGGACGGUCGGACACACUGACACUGAAUAACGGGUCAGACUCCUACGGGAGGCAGCAGUCGGGAAUUUUGGGCAAUGGGCGAAAGCCUGACCCAGCAACGCCGCGUGAAGGAUGAAGUAUUUCGGUAUGUAAACUUCGAAAGAAUAGGAAGAAUAAAUGACGGUACUAUUUAUAAGCUCCGGCUAACUACGUGCCAGCAGCCGCGGUAAUACGUAGGGAGCAAGCGUUGUUCGGAUUUACUGGGCGUAAAGGGCGCGUAGGCGGCGCGGUAAGUCACUUGUGAAAUCUCUGAGCUUAACUCAGAACGGCCAAGUGAUACUGCAGUGCUAGAGUGCAGAAAGGGCAAUCGGAAUUCUUGGUGUAGCGGUGAAAUGCGUAGAUAUCAAGAGGAACACCUGAGGCGAAGGCGGGUUGCUAGGCUGACACUGACGCUGAGGCGCGAAAGCCAGGGGAGCAAACGGGAUUAGAUACCCCGGUAGUCCUGGCCCUAAACGAUGAAUACUUGGUGUCUGGAGUUUCAAUACUCCGGG